CUUUUUGAUGUUCGCGUUGCUAAUUGCCGAGCUCCUCUUUUAGGAUUGGCUGCCCCUUCGUAUCCUUAAUAUAAUUAAAAGAACGGAAAAAAAAAACCUUCUAUCAUGGAGGCAGAGGUUAAUGCAAGUGUUUAGCAGAUGCUGUACUGCAACAUUUUCUUUUUAAAUAAACUCAUUAACUAUUGGAUAAUCUCAGCCCAGGUACAGUAUGUCGCCAAGAAUUUUGAUGGAAAAAAAUAGCGGCUCGAUCAGCUCACAAAGUGUAUCGCUGUACAAAGUGCUUUGUGUGGAACUAGCAGAGGAAAACAUAAAAAACAGCUUCGGGAGGCUCUUACCGAUUAACCAAUGCUGAAUUCUUACACCAGAACCACUCCGGCUUCUUGCUGGUUAAUGCACACAAAGAACUCCCUAGCACUAAAUUUUCACGCGAAGAGAAAUGCAAUUAUUAUGGAUAGCCAGUGGACAUGAGCUGCAAGUUCAGAACAAUUGGAUCUGAUUUGAUAGCAAUUGACUUCUAAAAUAAGCAGACAAUAGCUCAAGGUUUGGCCACGGAAAUGGUUUUCAAAGAAUGAGUUGCUUUAGAACAAUAAAAGCAAACCAAAUGAUUCUCUUCCAGCUCGCUGAGUUAAUGUACAUACCACGACAUCUAUUCAUCCGAACCAGUUAUAUGCCUGAAAUCAGUUGCAUGCUUGUUUAACUAGCCUGAUUGGAGCCAGUAGGUCGUAAAUUAAGAAAGAGAGAUAGAGAUGCUGGAGUUUGCAAGGAGCCUAGAAGAAACUCAAGUCGAAUUGCUGAAAAUGCUCAGUAUCGGAAGAUAUAUUUGGGAAUAAUGCAGUACAUUAGGCUGCUUCGUCCACCAGUUUCAAAGUCUUUUCGAACUGGACGCCCAAGAAGGGGAGUAAAGGACGAUUAGUAAUGUACUGGAACCGAGUACAUGGCAUUUUGUCAUUGUACAGUUCAGCGGAUGAUCUGUGCCAGCAGGAGGAAUCCUACGGAGGGCGCAGUUCAACAGCGUCUUCUUCGCUUUCCUGAAGUGCAAUAAGAAAUGCCCAGAAGUGUAUAGCUAUCUGUUUUACAAGACACUGUGCACCAGAGUCUCCAGGCCAAAGAAGCAAAGCAUCAGUCCCAGUGGUUGUCAUUGUACUUCGUCAUAUUUGCACUCACACUGUACGCUGCCCCUUCCCUCUGGGCAACAGACCGGGAGCAGCUCACACAAUCUAUUUUACUUGUCUUCCUUCCCCCCUCCGCCGAAAAGAUUAAAAGUGCAUGAUAGAGGCUGGAAAAACAUGUUUCAGUUUUGUUGUGUGAGAUAUUUUUGAAAGAAGUCAGAAUUAAACUAAAUAUUCUAAAAAGAGAAGAUAGUUCACGGUUGUGUGAAAAAUAAGUAUCUUUUCAUGAACUUCUUUUCUUCUGUUUACAUAAGAGAAAUAAAAGUAAACAGGCCUUAAGGUUUAAUGGAAUUGAACAUGUCAAAGGAAUAGAAUUGCGUGUUGUGUGGUUUAGGAGAAAGAUGUUCUAAGUCCUUUACUAAACAGUAUUUUAAAUUAUUUCAGAAAUAGAAAACUGAACUGAACAAACCACAAACACACAAACGCUCCCAAAGGGAAGAAGAGGAAAAAAACUGGAUUAAAAUACAAAGUAAAGAAUCAGUGGAAUCUAUAACUUUGAAAACCGAAAUAUAGUAUAAUACCUGAUAAAGUAUAGAAUUUCCCGCACAAAUAUCUUCCCGAAGGAGCCAAAUUCACCCAAUAUUGGCCAAUUGUCAAGAUUAGUUUAAUAACUUAAAAUAAUAACCAGUGGGGUACAUUGCCUUGAUAGCUCUAUUCUGAAAAGCCUUACUAGCACGUGUAAUUCUUACUCAAGGAAGUAGUUACACUUUCUGAAUGGGACAAUUGUCUUGAGUAACAACAGCUCAAGUAAAUAAGGAUUUUUCAGAAUCGGGCCCAAAUAGCUACAUUAAUAAGUUUAUGAAUUGGUCUACUCUGAGUUUAGCAGAUAGUAAUAUUCUUUGUUCCUAAUUAGGUUCUAAGCAUUCUAAACAAAAUGUGCAAUUUUAUGGUGUUUAAGCUCUUUCACCCUCGAAAAUAUUAAGGAACACAGAAUCUUGGCUUUGUGAAUGCGGAUUUAAAAUUUGGCGUGUGGCUGGAAAUAUUUAAAAAUAGGUACUUCUAGCUACAGUAUCCGGCUGAGAGCAGAUGAGCAGAAAGAUGGGUCUUUUUUUGUGGAUGGUUAACACUGCAGGCUUUUACAAGCCAACUAUGGGUUUGAACCCUUCAGUUCGUUGGAAGAGCCAGAGUUCCCCUUAUGUUUGCUUGUGCCUCACUACCUCACAGCUCUGUCUCCCCGUGAAUCGCUUUAAAAGUUUAGACGUGUUCAAAUUUAUAGAGUGCAUAAUGUCACUGACCUGAGACCAAAUGUAUUAGAAAGAGAGAUAAUUCUCAAAUGUAUUUUGAAGUGUCUAAGUACCAAGUGCCCUGUGAAUGGCAAUCUACAUACAACAAAACAUCCAGUUGGAAGGCCAUAAACUCAACGCAACAUAGAAACCCUGCAAUCAUAUGGAGUUUUGAAGGGACGCUGGAGAAAUAUCAUUUGAAGUAAAAUCUGUCAAUUCGUGUUAAUGAAAAUUACUCCUGCUUCGUUAGUUACACUCAUGUAGUCACAUCAUUGAUUUCAACGAGCAUAGCAAAGGGCAGAAUUUGGCCUUACAAGUCUGCUUUAAUUGCUGUGGAGGACCGUAAAGGAACCCUGGUGUUCGUUACUAUUAUCGGUACUGAAGGUGCAAAUAUUUAAGGCCCGAUAAUCUCUGCCAUUAAGUGUGUAUUUUAUACACACACGUAGAUAAACCCCAACAACAAGAUAGCAUCCACUUUGUAAGUUUAAAUGAUGUGCAAUAAACACAUGAGCGUACCAGUUUUACCCUUGCAUGUGUGAACAAUUAUUCAAAGAUUGCUUCUAUUUGGGACCAAUGAUACGAAGUUGAGUUGAUGCCACAUAAAAGAAUUUAAAAAACCCAGGGAGCGCCAAAAGAAGAAUAAAGAAUUCAUAAAAAUACUAAAUCGAACAGACAGUAUUUCUUCUUGCGUUUGUGGUGUUCACGUAGUUGCUCGUCCUUUAAUAUUGUUUGCAUUCCUUGGGGACCUGUGUUUUGAGGCUGCUUUUAAGAUCACUGCUGAUGGAAUUGCUUGGGUGACGGGAAUUGUUUUGAUCAAUAAAUAUUUGUCCUGAGAAUAUUAGGUUUACGUGCUCGCAGGAACAAAGAUUAACCUGAUAUUGCUUUGGUUCUAGACCAAGAAAAAGCAGUACUUUUAUUGUCAAUAUUAAU
Non-coding RNA from Pelodiscus sinensis (Chinese soft-shelled turtle), 3322 nucleotides. The record is from RefSeq and is a predicted model, not a curated record. Lineage: Eukaryota; Metazoa; Chordata; Testudines; Trionychidae.